UGCGUAGGCGGCGCGGUAAGUCGGGUGUGAAAUCUCGGAGCUUAACUCCGAAACUGCAUUCGAUACUGCCGUGCUUGAGGACUGGAGAGGAGACUGGAAUUUACGGUGUAGCGGUGAAAUGCGUAGAUAUCGUAAGGAAGACCAGUGGCGAAGGCGGGUCUCUGGACAGUUCCUGACGCUGAGGCACGAAGGUCAGGGGAGGCAAACG
This 208-nucleotide ribosomal RNA is filed under the name uncultured bacterium. RNAcentral's name for it is "partial 16S ribosomal RNA". It matches the Rfam family "Bacterial small subunit ribosomal RNA", at positions 568 to 775 of the family's 1533-position model. The record is from RNAcentral.